RNAcentral lists this long non-coding RNA (1040 nucleotides) under Sus scrofa (pig). RNAcentral describes it as "lncRNA (ENSSSCG00040015108.1)". Lineage: Eukaryota; Metazoa; Chordata; Mammalia; Artiodactyla; Suidae. The record is from RNAcentral.
AUGUCAGUUAGAAGGAACCUAAAAGAUCAAGUUAUUCAACUCACUCUUCACAGAGAAGGGAGCUGGGUUCACCAAAAUGAAGGCUCUGGUCAAAGUCACUCAAAUACAAAAUGCCAGAACAGGACCAAGGGCAAGGUCCAUCUCCAGGUCAUGACAUCAAGGCUCAAAGACCUCCCUAGGCAGUUCCUGUUAGCCAUCCUUCAGAGGGUCGAUGCUGGGGCACAGUGUGAGCAGAAGAUGUAAAACCUGUUCUUCCUCUCGCGGAUGAUCUGCUACUACUUCAUUCUGAGCUGGGGAAAAUUGCAUGUGCAUCUGGUGACCUCCUUUUCUAUGGAGUGAAACCAUCUGGAAAUGUGAUUGUGAAGCUUGCUGAGCAGGAAAGAGAGAGCUGGAAAGUGAAGCCCAGGCUUUAUACUACCUCAGCUCUGAAACAGUAUGCAUCACUCUUGCUGUGGUUCAUUGGCCGGAUCUAGUCAAAUGGCCCCAAACUAACUUCAAGAGUCAGGGAAAUGCAAUUGCUAUGAACACUACACAUCUCUGCCAAUAACAACAAAGAUUGAAAUUCCUUUCACCUGGAGGUAAAAUUGAGUUCGAUGUAAAAGAAAUGAAGUCAGGAGUUCCCAAUUGUGAUGCAGUGGAAAUGAAUCUGACUAGUAUCCGUGAGAAUGUGGGUUCCAUCCCUGGCCUUGCUCAGUGGGUCAUGGAUCCAGUGUUGCAGCAAGCUGUGGUGUAGGUCGCAGACCUGGUCGCAAAUCCUGUGCUGCUGUGGCUGUGGCGUAGGCCAUCAGCUUCAGCCCUGAUUCACCCUGAUUCAAGCUUGGGAACUUCCAUAUGCCCUAGGUGCUGCCCUAAAAAGAAAAAAAAAAGAAAGAAAAUUAAAAAAAUGAAGUAAUCUGACAAUUUCUAUGUACUUUUUUUUUUGGUUUUCUGGAGUGAUUUUUUUUUUUUUUAACCUAUGUCAAAUGUUGCAGACCGAGCUGCUUUAAGCUGAAGCAUGUGGAUCAUGCAUCCUGAGUUUGUUUAAUGCACAUAUCACACAC